Molecule: ribosomal RNA, 484 nt
Filed under: uncultured bacterium
Lineage: Bacteria
Description: partial 16S ribosomal RNA
Rfam family: Bacterial small subunit ribosomal RNA
Source: RNAcentral
AGUGAACGCUGGCGGCGUGCUUAACACAUGCAAGUCGAACGAGAACGGGUUAUAGCUUGCUAUAAUUGUCAGCUAAGUGGCGCACGGGUGAGUAAUGUAUAGGUAAUAUGCCUCUUACUAAGGGAUAACAAAUGGAAACGUUUGCUAAUACCUUAUACUCCUUAUUAACAGAAGUUAAUAAGGGAAAGAUUUAUUGGUAAGAGAUUAGCCUGUAUUGUAUCAGUUAGUUGGUGGGGUAAUGGCUUACCAAGACUAUGACACAUAACUGGUUUGAGAGGAUGAUCAGUCACACUGGAACUGAGACACGGUCCAGACCCCUACGGGAUGCAGCAGUGGGGAAUAUUGCACAAUGGACGAAAGUCUGAUGCAGCAACGCCGCGUGGAGGAUGACACAUUUCGGUGCGUAAACUCCUUUUAUAUGAGAAGAUAAUGACGGUAUUAUAUGAAUAAGCACCGGCUAACUCCGUGCCAGCCGCCGCUGUAA